UAGUCCACGCUGUAAACGAUGAUCACUUGUUAUUGGCGAUAUACAGUCAGUGACAUAGCGAAAGUGUUAAGUGAUCCACCUGGGGAGUACGAUCGCAAGGUUGAAACUCAAAGGAAUUGACGGGGGCCCGCACAAGCGGUGGAGCAUGUGGUUUAAUUCGAUGAUACGCGAGGAACCUUACCAGGGCUUAAAUGUACUUUGACAGACGUGGAAACAUGUUUUUCUUCGGACAAAAUACAAGGUGCUGCAUGGUUGUCGUCAGCUCGUGCCGUGAGGUGUUGGGUUAAGUCCCGUAACGAGCGCAACCCCUAUCUUUAGUUGCCAGCGGGUUAAGCCGGGGACUCUAAAGAAACUGCCAGCGCAAGCUGUGAGGAAGGUGGGGAUGACGUCAAAUCAUCACGGCCCUUACGUCCUGGGCCACACACGUGCUACAAUGGUGAAUACAAAGGGCAGCUACCGUGCGAGCGGAUGCUAAUCUCGAAAGUUCAUCUCAGUUCGGAUCGGAGU
RNAcentral lists this ribosomal RNA (507 nucleotides) under uncultured bacterium. RNAcentral describes it as "bacterial SSU rRNA". It matches the Rfam family "Bacterial small subunit ribosomal RNA", at positions 791 to 1304 of the family's 1533-position model. The record is from RNAcentral.